CGAAGGGAAACCGAGUCUUAACCGGGCGUUAAGUUGCAGGGUAUAGACCCGAAACCCGGUGAUCUAGCCAUGGGCAGGUUGAAGGUUGGGUAACACUAACUGGAGGACCGAACCGACUAAUGUUGAAAAAUUAGCGGAUGACUUGUGGCUGGGGGUGAAAGGCCAAUCAAACCGGGAGAUAGCUGGUUCUCCCCGAAAGCUAUUUAGGUAGCGCCUCGUGAAUUCAUCUCCGGGGGUAGAGCACUGUUUCGGCAAGGGGGUCAUCCCGACUUACCAACCCGAUGCAAACUGCGAAUACCGGAGAAUGUUAUCACGGGAGACACACGGCGGGUGCUAACGUCCGUCGUGAAGAGGGAAACAACCCAGACCGCCAGCUAAGGUCCCAAAGUCAUGGUUAAGUGGGAAACGAUGUGGGAAGGCCCAGACAGCCAGGAUGUUGGCUUAGAAGCAGCCAUCAUUUAAAGAAAGCGUAAUAGCUCACUGGUCGAGUCGGCCUGCGCGGAAGAUGUAACGGGGCUAAACCAUGCACCGAAGCUGCGGCAGCGACACUGUGUGUUGUUGGGUAGGGGAGCGUUCUGUAAGCCUGUGAAGGUGUACUGUGAGGUAUGCUGGAGGUAUCAGAAGUGCGAAUGCUGACAUAAGUAACGAUAAAGCGGGUGAAAAGCCCGCUCGCCGGAAGACCAAGGGUUCCUGUCCAACGUUAAUCGGGGCAGGGUGAGUCGACCCCUAAGGCGAGGCCGAAAGGCGUAGUCGAUGGGAAACAGGUUAAUAUUCCUGUACUUGGUGUUACUGCGAAGGGGGGACGGAGAAGGCUAUGUUGGCCGGGCGACGGUUGUCCCGGUUUAAGCGUGUAGGCUGGUUUUCCAGGCAAAUCCGGAAAAUCAAGGCUGAGGCGUGAUGACGAGGCACUACGGUGCUGAAGCAACAAAUGCCCUGCUUCCAGGAAAAGCCUCUAAGCAUCAGGUAACAUCAAAUCGUACCCCAAACCGACACAGGUGGUCAGGUAGAGAAUACCAAGGCGCUUGAGAGAACUCGGGUGAAGGAACUAGGCAAAAUGGUGCCGUAACUUCGGGAGAAGGCACGCUGAUAUGUAGGUGAAGUCCCUCGCGGAUGGAGCUGAAAUCAGUCGAAGAUACCAGCUGGCUGCAACUGUUUAUUAAAAACACAGCACUGUGCAAACACGAAAGUGGACGUAUACGGUGUGACGCCUGCCCGGUGCCGGAAGGUUAAUUGAUGGGGUCAGCGCAAGCGAAGCUCUUGAUCGAAGCCCCGGUAAACGGCGGCCGUAACUAUAACGGUCCUAAGGUAGCGAAAUUCCUUGUCGGGUAAGUUCCGACCUGCACGAAUGGCGUAAUGAUGGCCAGGCUGUCUCCACCCGAGACUCAGUGAAAUUGAACUCGCUGUGAAGAUGCAGUGUACCCGCGGCAAGACGGAAAGACCCCGUGAACCUUUACUAUAGCUUGACACUGAACAUUGAGCCUUGAUGUGUAGGAUAGGUGGGAGGCUUUGAAGUGUGGACGCCAGUCUGCAUGGAGCCGACCUUGAAAUACCACCCUUUAAUGUUUGAUGUUCUAACGUGGACCCGUGAUCCGGGUUGCGGACAGUGUCUGGUGGGUAGUUUGACUGGGGCGGUCUCCUCCUAAAGAGUAACGGAGGAGCACGAAGGUUGGCUAAUCCUGGUCGGACAUCAGGAGGUUAGUGCAAUGGCAUAAGCCAGCUUGACUGCGAGCGUGACGGCGCGAGCAGGUGCGAAAGCAGGUCAUAGUGAUCCGGUGGUUCUGAAUGGAAGGGCCAUCGCUCAACGGAUAAAAGGUACUCCGGGGAUAACAGGCUGAUACCGCCCAAGAGUUCAUAUCGACGGCGGUGUUUGGCACCUCGAUGUCGGCUCAUCACAUCCUGGGGCUGAAGUAGGUCCCAAGGGUAUGGCUGUUCGCCAUUUAAAGUGGUACGCGAGCUGGGUUUAGAACGUCGUGAGACAGUUCGGUCCCUAUCUGCCGUGGGCGCUGGAGAACUGAGGGGGGCUGCUCCUAGUACGAGAGGACCGGAGUGGACGCAUCACUGGUGUUCGGGUUGUCAUGCCAAUGGCACUGCCCGGUAGCUAAAUGCGGAAGAGAUAAGUGCUGAAAGCAUCUAAGCACGAAACUUGCCCCGAGAUGAGUUCUCCCUGACCCUUUAAGGGUCCUGAAGGAACGUUGAAGACGACGACGUUGAUAGGCCGGGUGUGUAAGCGCAGCGAUGCGUUGAGCUAACCGGUACUAAUGAACCGUGAGGCUUAACCUUACAACGCCGAAGGUGUUU
Molecule: ribosomal RNA, 2298 nt
Filed under: Escherichia coli
Lineage: Bacteria; Pseudomonadati; Pseudomonadota; Gammaproteobacteria; Enterobacterales; Enterobacteriaceae
Description: partial 23S ribosomal RNA
Rfam family: Bacterial large subunit ribosomal RNA
Source: RNAcentral